RNAcentral lists this ribosomal RNA (525 nucleotides) under uncultured bacterium. RNAcentral's name for it is "partial 16S ribosomal RNA". It matches the Rfam family "Bacterial small subunit ribosomal RNA", at positions 355 to 871 of the family's 1533-position model. The record is from RNAcentral.
UAGGGAAUCUUCCACAAUGGACGCAAGUCUGAUGGAGCAACGCCGCGUGAGUGAAGAAGGUCUUCGGAUCGUAAAGCUCUGUUGUUGGUGAAGAAGGAUAGAGGCAGUAACUGGUCUUUAUUUGACGGUAAUCAACCAGAAAGUCACGGCUAACUACGUGCCAGCAGCCGCGGUAAUACGUAGGUGGCAAGCGUUGUCCGGAUUUAUUGGGCGUAAAGCGAGCGCAGGCGGAAUGAUAAGUCUGAUGUGAAAGCCCACGGCUCAACCGUGGAACUGCAUCGGAAACUGUCAUUCUUGAGUGCAGAAGAGGAGAGUGGAACUCCAUGUGUAGCGGUGGAAUGCGUAGAUAUAUGGAAGAACACCAGUGGCGAAGGCGGCUCUCUGGUCUGCAACUGACGCUGAGGCUCGAAAGCAUGGGUAGCGAACAGGAUUAGAUACCCUGGUAGUCCAUGCCGUAAACGAUGAGCGCUAGGUGUUGGGGACUUUCCGGUCCUCAGUGCCGCAGCAAACGCAUUAAGCGCUCCG